Impatiens glandulifera is the source of this 911-nucleotide long non-coding RNA. RefSeq lists it as uncharacterized. The record is from RefSeq and is a predicted model, not a curated record. Lineage: Eukaryota; Viridiplantae; Streptophyta; Magnoliopsida; Ericales; Balsaminaceae. The transcript is spliced from 3 exons.
UUCUUCCCGUUUUCCUCUUCCCCUGAAGCCGCGGCGACCGUUGGCUUUCCCCGAGCAUCCCGACCAUUCUUCCGGUCCCUUUCUUCCUGCCGAGCAUCCCGACGAUCGCCAAGCCACAGCCGGACAAUCUCCAAGCACCAGCCGGACGUUUUUCGUUUCUCGUUCUCGUUUGAAUCCUUCAGAGACCUGAGGAGAUGUACUUCCAAUGAACCAAUCUGACUCUAUUUUCUCGGCUGUUGGUGAUUGCAAGUACACUCAAGCUAUCCCUAAUGGAUUAGUACACCCUUUAUGAAGACGCCCGAAGCUUUUCUAGCUAAACGAUUACUGUCUCGUCUAUACAAGCUGCAACAAAAGAAACACAGAUAUCAACAUGUGGGCAUGUUUUUAGGUGAAAUAUUAGGUGCAGUAGUAAUGGCUGGCGACCGGUCUCAAAUUUAUAGAGAAGUCUGUUGUAGUAAUGGCAAUGGGAUUAGAAUCUGAAGAUGGGCAGACAAUUAUUACUGAUGCUAAUAUGAAAAAAAUGGUUAGAAUUUUGGAAAAUGUGGAUUCAAUUGCAUGCUAUGAUCAUUUUGUGGCUCGGCUAGCCGACAGACAACAAUCGGCAGUUGUUGGAAGUCUUGAGGAACAGAAACAAACUUGGAGCAAACCACCCAAGUGAACCUACAAUCGGUUAGACAAAGUUGUGAACCUACAAUCGGUUAGACAAAGUUUCAGCUUAGCAAAUUUGUUGGAAUUUUGUAUGCUUAUUUUAGUUUGUUAUUCAGUGGAUUAUUAUAUUCUGUCUCAUGAAAUUAGUUUGUAUUAAUUAUGAUACUAAAUCUAAGUUUCAUUUUUAGCUAAUUAUUAACAAGUAACUUGAAUCUUAAACUUAGUUAACAUAUAUAAUUAAUAGAUGGAUCUGGAAAUGAAUA